UAUCACUUCUUUUGCAGCUCCUUCUCCUCCACAUCUUCCUUCUCCGCCUCCUCCCAUCCUUCCUCCUCUGCCUCCACCUGUACUUCCAUCGCUGACAUCUUGUCUCUCCUCUUACUCAUCUUCUUCCUCUGCCUCUUCCCACAAUGAACAUCUACUCUCAUUUACGCAUGCUAAGAGCGAAAUUAUAGGGUUUCUUUCUAUAAAUUGGCUCAAAUCUAGUGUAUCCAAUAGCUGUAGCUAAAGAUGAUCGCCGGUGAUGGCCUUCUAAGCACGACAUGUUGUGGGCAUCCCUUGUACAUGGAUUCUCCAUUAUUGGCCUUAUCGAUUUGAGGUUCUGUCUCUAAAGGGUGCGUACUUAAAUUGCAGAACGUGAUGGCCUCGAUCUCCUGCGACAAAGCUGUUUGGGACGCCAUCUUGAACAACAGGGCAGUUCAGGAUCUCCGGGGCUCAAUCUCUGCAGAGUUAUGCCUGAACAUAUACAAUUCGUGACUAUCAACUCUCCUUACGGCUCAAUGCGCAGCUACCUAAGUGAAGAAUUGAUAUGAACAAACAAAGGGGUAUUUGGAGAUAUGUGUUUUGGCUGGAAUUUUUUUUUUGUUUUUAAGUUUCUAUUUAUUUACUGAAGAACAUAAAACAGAGACAGAAACAUGACGAGGCAGUUGGAGUAGGGGUGGAAACGGGAGAAGUAGAAAUUGGUUUAUACAGUUGGCCUCUUAAGUUAGGAUUUAUUUGUAACUGAUAGUUUUUAGCUUUUUGGUUUUUACAGUUGAAGCAUUUGAUCAAGUGUUUUUGUUACAUAUGUAGGAUUUAUUUGUAACUGAUUGUUUUCUUACCUUUUUUUCAUGAAAUAUUGCUUCUUGAUUUUGUAGUUAUUGUCACAUGAGUGAAAAAUUGCUUCAA
Long non-coding RNA from Coffea eugenioides, 900 nucleotides. RefSeq lists it as uncharacterized. The transcript has 3 exons. The record is from RefSeq and is a predicted model, not a curated record. Lineage: Eukaryota; Viridiplantae; Streptophyta; Magnoliopsida; Gentianales; Rubiaceae.